CAUUUCAGUUGAGUUCUGUUUCAGUUUCGGUUCGGUUCUGUUCCGUUUUUUCCUUCUUCAUUUAUUUAUUUAUACUAGGAAAAUAUUUAAAAAAUAUUUUAAAUAACAUAAACAUUAUACGUGUCUAAUACUAAACCCGAAUAUAUAUAUUUAACCAACUUAAACCCCAAUAUUGUGUAUUUCUAACUACUACGACGAACCACGACAAUGCCGACAAUCUGUGGGAUUAACGCUCGCUGGAACUGAACGAUGGAUCUGGCAGAUCAAAUCGAUGACUAUAUCUGUUCGUUCGAGGGAAUUGGUGACUUAACAAUGGACUCUCUGGCCAUCUUCAUUUUCCUGUGGGCCGUUCUGGCCCUCUUCUCCGUCUGGCUGAUCAAGCUCCUCUACCACAAGUAUCUCAACAAGGCCAACAAAUCCCCCAGUGCGGCCAACAGCCGUCAGAGUAGCGUGGCCCCCGGCUCGGGUUCUGUUUCGGGAUCUCCUUCCGGCAAAACAGAGAAGCGUCUCUCGGAGCCCCGUGAUUUGGUGGCCACCAAGAGCAAGGUGGAGGAUCUCUCCAAGCCACUAACUGGUGGCGUUUCAUCUGGCGGUAGGGGUCGAUCAUCGGCUUCUCCCCUGAACUCGGCCGGGCCCUUGGGUGCCGCUGGUGCUGCCGGUCCACGUCGCCGGGUGGUGCGUCAGAGUUCCACUGGACCGGAGAAUCGCAAGAAGCGCUAUGUUCCACCGCCCUCCAAUGUGGUGGGUCCGGAAACGAGCUCUGUAACCUGGACCAGCCAGGUCUUCCGCUGGCUCUACAGCGACCUGGUCAUCGUCAACGAACUGCUCAUGUCCUGGGUGAUUGCCAUCAAUGACACGCUGCGCAAAUCCGUGGAGGAGCAUGGCGUGGCCGUGGAAGUGGUGCGCGUUCUGCCCGAUAGCCCAGCUCCGGGAUUAAACAAUAUCUUUUGCAAUUGCGAUGAGAACAAUCCCGCUGAUAUGCUCAUCACCUUUGACUGCGAUGCCAUGCCGGUGCUGCAGGUCAAGACUUUCCGCCAAAAGGCCGGCAAGGUGGAGACCUCCCAUUACAAGGUCACCGUGUCCAGGUUCCGGGCUCGCAUGGCCAUACCCAUGAACUAUAAUACCCUGAAGGGCGAGAUGCGUGUAGAGGGUUAUCCAGAUGUUCGCAUUGCCAUGAACAGCGUGGGCGCCAUCAAGGCCAUGGAUCAGGAUGAACAGCAGCUGCAGACGGUGAUCAGCGAUAUCCUGACGACGGCUUUGCGUGAUACCAUCUAUCCGGUGGACUUCUCCAUCUACUCGACCUGCCCGCGGGCCGAAGUGGAGCCCCUGGAUCUACCUGUAAUCUAUCCCGUCCACUAUGACUCGCUGGCGCACAAUAUGGAGCAUCAUCUGAGCGGCGUGGGGCUAAGGGACUCCCAGCACAUGGUCUCUGGCCGCCGGCUUCUUGUAAAGAUUGUCAAGGGCGAAGGCCUAAGGGAUGCCCACGAUCCCUAUGUUGUCAUCGAGAUGGAUGAGCCGGCCCAAAAGAACCAGACGGGCACCCAGCGCGGCACCAAGCCCUACUGGGAUGAGCACUUCCUCUUCGAACUCUCCCCCCAAUCUGCCGAGAUCCUUUUCGAGGUUUAUGACCAUCCGGUUAUAGCCUCUGAUCCGCCCAAAUUCCUGGGUCUCGGCCUGGUUGGCAUCGAUGAGCUGGCCGUGGGUCCUGCCUCCACGCAACUUCUGCAGCUGCAGCCACGUCCUUAUGAGACGCAGCCUGUUUCCGGGGCCAUCACCGUGGACUUUGUGUUCAUCGAGGGUGCCGAGAUCCCGGCUGGAGUUCGCCCGCAGCGCCUGAAGGAGGCGUUGCGCCUCAGCACGCCAGCCAUCAAUGAGCACAUCCGAAAUGGAGCCGAUCUGGCGGAUGCGGCUGUAAGAGCUCUACAGGAUGGAGCGCUCUCGAGCACUGGCAGCGGUGGACAGCCCAGCAAGAGCACUUUGAUCAUACACAGUGUGCAGCGGAAUUCGACCGGCCCGAAUGCAUUUAAGGUCGAGGUCAACAAGGAGGGCCAGAUCGAGGUGGUCCAGUCGCCGACCGAGCUGGAUCAGACAGUGGCCCAGGCCUUUGAGCGGGCUGCCAACGAGGCCCAGGCCGAGCUUGAGCUGGAGAAGGCCAAGCUGGAGUUGGAGCCCGGUCAGGGUGACAUACUCAACGACUCAGGUAAUGGUACCGUCAACGAGGACAGCGUCGCGGAGUAUGGCCAGCCCAAUGCCGCCUCAUCGCCCAAUGGCAGUGGCUAUGGACACAACAACUACAGCCUCAAUGGCAAUGGCAACUCGGGAGGAGCCGGAGGAGGCUACAACAGCCUGCCCAGGAAUGGAGCUGCCUUGCAUCAGCAGAUGGGUCACCACAAUGCCGGCUUGAUACUCGACGGACAGGACGUGGUGGAUGCGGACCGUGGAAGGAGCAAAAAACGUAAUUUCUUUGGCACCCUGAAGAAGCGGCUAAGCCGCUCCAAGACACGUACCCUCUCGGCCGAUCAGCCCAAUAAUAAUAAAAAUAGCAGUCAUAAGUCACUAUCAGCCACCAACUCGAAUACAGCGACCACAGCCACCGGAUAUCCCCGAAACGCCACCGGAACCCUCAAUGGUGAUUCUUCCCGUUCAUUAUCUGUCGAUCGUGCCACUACUCUGUCCAAAAGCAAUUCACUUGGACCCCGCAUGGGCAUUGGUCACUCCAUCACCGACCACUCACGCCGCUCCUCAAUUUCAGAAUCCUCGGCCAUCUCAGGUUUCUCCUCGGCCAGCAAUAAGACCUAUGUGCACGAGGCCUCCACCUUAGUGCUGGAGACGGUGGAGAAUGGCAUCAAGCGUCACUUUAUUGUGCCGCUGGCCAUUGCCCAGAGACCGCGCUGGCGUCGCAAGGGAACCAAGCUGCACAUCUACAACGAUCACACCUUCAUCGCCAAGCAUUUGAGCGGAAGCGGCCUGCAGUGCUCCAUCUGCAUGAAGUCCAUACCCCGUAGGCCCGGCAAGCAGGGCUACGAGUGCCGCGACUGCCAGCUGAUCUGUCACAAGCAGUGUCACAUACGGGCGCCCCAGGCGUGUCCCAAUCCCACGGUGCUCUCCAUGGAACUAACGUCAUUUCCGGAUGACCACUGAGGGGUAGUGUCGAGGUCUCAGCGAACACAACAACAACCAACCAACCAGCCACCAAAGCACGUUUUUAGUCCAUUAAGAAAAGAACCAUUCUAAAGACAAUAGCUCUCCCAGCACACAGUUCUACUUCGAUCAGGGUUUCCCUCUUAGAUUCUCUCACGUUCGAGGUUCAAGCGUUUCUCAGUUGAGCGUUUUGGCAACUGGGAAAUCGGGAACCAAACUUAGCUCGGCGGCGGCAGAUCGCAGCAUACGAAAACUGUGAGGGGAAUCCAGCUUAAUUCUGCCCCCCCCGAAAACCGAGAAACCAUAAUCGAAAUACUACUCUUAGUUAGAGAUCAGAUGGAUCUGUCUUCUGCUGCGGAAAACCCCAAUACCCGAUACCCGAAACACCACGUUAUUUAUUUAUACACACACACACCCACAACACGAACACACACACCAUGUGCAAUAUGUUCUUUGGUUUCGUUUUUUUAACCACAUUUUCUCUGUGUCAACGUGCUGGAGCCCAUUGAUAUUUUUUUGUAUUUUCUACAAAACACGAAUAAUAAUUGUACAAAAAUAAAAGUGAAUUAGAGGUUUUUUAAAUGAA
Molecule: RNA transcript, 3727 nt
Organism: Drosophila kikkawai
Lineage: Eukaryota; Metazoa; Arthropoda; Insecta; Diptera; Drosophilidae
Source: RefSeq, a predicted model, not a curated record